GACGAACGCUGGCGGCGUGCUUGACACAUGCAAGUCGAACGGAAAGGCCCUGCUUUUGUGGGGUGCUCGAGUGGCGAACGGGUGAGUAACACGUGAGUAACCUGCCCUUGACUUUGGGAUAACUUCAGGAAACUGGGGCUAUUACCGGAUAGGAGCUCCUGCUGCAUGGGGGGGGUGGGAAAGUUUCGUCGGUUGGGGAUGGACUCGCGGCUUAUCAGCUUGUUGGUGGGGUAGUGGCUUACCAAGGCUUUGACGGGUAGCCGGCCUGAGAGGGUGACCGGCCACAUUGGGAUUGAGAUACGGCCCAGACUCCUACGGGACGCAGCAGUGGGGAAUAUUGCACAAUGGGCGGAAGCCUGAUGCAGCGACGCCGCGUGCGGGAUGACGGCCUUCGGGUUGUAAACCGCUUUCGCCUGUGACGAAGCGUGAGUGACGGUAAUGGGUAAAGAAGCACCGGCUAACUACGUG
Molecule: ribosomal RNA, 468 nt
Filed under: uncultured bacterium
Lineage: Bacteria
Description: partial 16S ribosomal RNA
Rfam family: Bacterial small subunit ribosomal RNA
Source: RNAcentral